Theobroma cacao (cacao) is the source of this 554-nucleotide non-coding RNA. NCBI's taxonomy places the organism in Eukaryota, Viridiplantae, Streptophyta, Magnoliopsida, Malvales, Malvaceae. The record is from RefSeq and is a predicted model, not a curated record.
AUGAAUUACCUCUGCAGCAUGAGCCUCCUGCUCCUGAAGCAUGUAAGCUACAAAGAUGAUAAAAACAAACAAAACAUUCAGUGUGAAUCUAAUUGUGAGGGCAGGCAGUAGAUGGAUAUGAAAGAGAGAGCCCACAGACACGAAAGAAAAGGCAGCAGAAUCAAGUUAGAUCAGUGCAGAGAUAUGAUGAUAGCCGGUACAGUUCACAGUUUUCAAUUUGGGCACAACGUUGGGAGAAAUUUAGGGAAGAAGUCAAGUCUAAAAUGCAUCCCAAUCAAGGUAUUUCCCCCAUUACCAUGCUAAUGCAAAGUAUAAUUAUUGUUGAAGAGGUCCAGGAAGCCACAAUGCUAAAACUUGAGCAAGGGACAAGGCUCCUCUUCUUUCAUCCAAAAUUGUAAAUGCAGAAACUCAGCUUGGACUUUUAUACUGCCAUCAUGUGCAUUUUGUUUUAAAACAUGAUUAGGAUACAAAGGAGAAUUAACUCUAGAUGGCUAUAGGUGCAUGCAUCCAAAUCAGAUCAUAUAAGUAACAAAAGAGACAAAAUCUGAGGAAAA